AGAGAAUUAGUUUAAAACUAAAACAUUAACUUGUCAAGUUAAAUAUAUAUGUAUAUAUAUUCUCUU
This 66-nucleotide transfer RNA is filed under the name Urochela quadrinotata (four-spotted shield-bug). RNAcentral describes it as "tRNA-Asp". It matches the Rfam family "tRNA". From Rfam's summary of the family: Transfer RNA (tRNA) molecules are approximately 80 nucleotides in length. Their secondary structure includes four short double-helical elements and three loops (D, anti-codon, and T loops). Further hydrogen bonds mediate the characteristic L-shaped molecular structure. tRNAs have two regions of fundamental functional importance: the anti-codon, which is responsible for specific mRNA codon recognition, and the 3' end, to which the tRNAs corresponding amino acid is attached (by aminoacyl-tRNA synthetases). tRNAs cope with the degeneracy of the genetic code in two manners: having more than one tRNA (with a specific anti-codon) for a particular amino acid; and 'wobble' base-pairing, i.e. permitting non-standard base-pairing at the 3rd anti-codon position. The record is from RNAcentral. Lineage: Eukaryota; Metazoa; Arthropoda; Insecta; Hemiptera; Urostylididae.